RNAcentral lists this ribosomal RNA (482 nucleotides) under uncultured bacterium. RNAcentral describes it as "bacterial SSU rRNA". It matches the Rfam family "Bacterial small subunit ribosomal RNA", at positions 30 to 507 of the family's 1533-position model. The record is from RNAcentral.
AUUGAACGCUGGCGGCAUGCCUUACACAUGCAAGUCGAACGGUAACGGGCCUUCGGGUGCCGACGAGUGGCGAACGGGUGAGUAAUGCGUCGGAACGUACCUUUCAGUGGGGGAUAACGUAGCGAAAGUUACGCUAAUACCGCAUAUUCUGUGAGCAGGAAAGCAGGGGAUCGCAAGACCUUGCGCUGAUUGAGCGGCCGAUGUCAGAUUAGCUAGUUGGUGAGGUAAAGGCUCACCAAGGCGACGAUCUGUAGCGGGUCUGAGAGGAUGAUCCGCCACACUGGAACUGAGACACGGUCCAGACUCCUACGGGAGGCAGCAGUGGGGAAUUUUGGACAAUGGGGGCAACCCUGAUCCAGCCAUGCCGCGUGAGUGAAGAAGGCCUUCGGGUUGUAAAGCUCUUUCGGCCGGGAAGAAAUCGCAUGGGCUAAUACCCUGUGCGGAUGACGGUACCGGCAUAAGAAGCACCGGCUAACUACGUG